This 441-nucleotide ribosomal RNA is filed under the name uncultured bacterium. RNAcentral describes it as "bacterial SSU rRNA". It matches the Rfam family "Bacterial small subunit ribosomal RNA", at positions 338 to 795 of the family's 1533-position model. The record is from RNAcentral.
CCUACGGGAGGCUGCAGUCGAGAAUAUUCCCCAAUGGCCGAAAGGCUGAGGGAGCGACGCCGCGUGCAGGACGAAGGGCUUCGGCUCGUAAACUGCUUUUUUCAGGGAAGAACACUGACGGUACCUGAAGAAUAAGAGGUUGCUAACUCUGUGCCAGCAGCAGCGGUAAUACAGAGACCUCAAACGUUGUCCGGAUUUAUUGGGCGUAAAGGGUCCGCAGGUGGUUGUGUGCGUCAAUGGUCAAAGCAACGGGCUCAACCCGUUGACCGCCGUUGAUACGGCACAACUCGAGCAUGGGAGAGGUAAGCGGAAUUGCCGGUGUAGUAGUAAAAUGCGUUCAUAUCGGCAAGAACACCAAAUGCGAAGGCAGCUUACUGGAACAUUGCUGACACUCAGGGACGAAAGCGUGGGGAGCGAAAGGGAUUAGAUACCCUGGUAGUC